This 245-nucleotide ribosomal RNA is filed under the name uncultured bacterium. RNAcentral's name for it is "partial 16S ribosomal RNA". It matches the Rfam family "Bacterial small subunit ribosomal RNA", at positions 524 to 767 of the family's 1533-position model. The record is from RNAcentral.
UACGGAGGAUCCAAGCGUUAUCCGGAAUUACUGGGCGUAAAGAGUUGCGUAGGUGGCAUAGUAAGUAGAUAGUGAAAGCGUGUGGCUCAACCAUAUAUACAUUAUCUAAACUGCUAAGCUCGAGGAUGAGAGAGGUUAUUGGAAUUCCCUGUGUAGGAGUGAAAUCCGUAGAUAUAGGGAGGAACACCGAUGGCGUAGGCAGAUAACUGGCUCAUUCCUGACACUAAGGCACGAAAGCGUGGGGA